Prunus persica (peach) is the source of this 698-nucleotide long non-coding RNA. RefSeq lists it as uncharacterized. NCBI's taxonomy places the organism in Eukaryota, Viridiplantae, Streptophyta, Magnoliopsida, Rosales, Rosaceae. The record is from RefSeq and is a predicted model, not a curated record. The transcript is spliced from 5 exons.
UCUAUCUCUCACUCACUCACUCACUCAACCCUACACUAUUUCUCUCCCGAUCUGAGACUAACCCUACCUCAUCGGCCGCCAUCUCUAUCGCGCGCCCUCUCUGUCUCUCUGUCUCUCUCUCAACUCGUCUCUAUCGCGCUCGCUCUCUCUCUCUCUCUGUCUCUCUCUUAGUCACAUCUUUAAGUCUCUUAGAGACGCGAGACUCAUUCUCUUUCUCCAAACCUAACCAAACAUCAAUCCAAUAUCAUUGGUUUUUGGAGCGAAUCCUUGUAAAUUUUGGAGGGCUCUGGUUCAUUCUAAGUUGUUGUGCUUAGUCUCUGUGGGUUUGGAUUAAUAGGCAAAAUUGAAGAUUGUUGCGUUGCAGCUUUCUGUGGUCCGAAUUGCCCCGAAUUGUGUCUUUGCACUGAGUGUUGUGUAGGUUGCUUUGUGAAGGCUUUUGGAAGAAUGGAUGCAGCAGAUUUUUUGCAAGGAUAUUAUCUCUAUGUGUAUUUUUGUGAUGGGUUGUAAUCUUUAAUGUCAUAAGUUUAAUUUGGUUUGUGUAUUAUUUUUUGUAAUGGUUUGUAAGAGAUUAUAUUUCCUUUCCUUGGUUGGUUGGUUGAAUUGAAUGUGUGUAUGUGAGAUUUAUUUAGUUUAGAAACUUAGAUUGGAAUGAUGGAUUUUUAUAGCUUGAAUUUACAUAAUUUCAGGUUUUGAAAGAG